GACACUUGCCUUUUAGGCAUCCUCUCCCAAAACUUUUACGGGCCGCCCUUCGGGGCGGCCCUUUUUUUUCGCCCUC
RNAcentral lists this small RNA (76 nucleotides) under Sphingopyxis witflariensis. RNAcentral describes it as "Makes More Granules Regulator RNA (mmgR)". It matches the Rfam family "Makes More Granules Regulator RNA (mmgR)". Rfam says of the family: SuhB later renamed mmgR (makes more granules regulator) was a putative non-coding RNA found multiple times in the Agrobacterium tumefaciens genome and related alpha-proteobacteria. The record is from Rfam by way of RNAcentral. Lineage: Bacteria; Pseudomonadati; Pseudomonadota; Alphaproteobacteria; Sphingomonadales; Sphingopyxidaceae.